UUUCUCCCAAGCAUUCAUCUUCAUUUCCAAGUGAAUGAAAGGGGAGUUCAGUGGUACCACUGUCUGUGAGGCAGUGUUAAUAGUUCAGCCAGGAAAACAACUGGACAAAUGACUGGAGGGAUGUGAAAAUCUAACAUAAAGAAAGGCUUUUAAUAUGUCAAUGUGGAGUACUCAGAGGUUUGUGGGAACUAAUUUAUUUUUAUGGUGAGAAUAAAAAUACCCACAAAUAUAAACAAAUAUAUACAUGCGUUCUUACUGGAUUAAUACAAUUGGUUGGUCAAGAAGCAGCCAUUGGGGCCUGGAGAGAUGGCAAGGCCCACAGGAGGAUCUGAGGUAGAAUUCCAAGCAUCUAUGUAAAAUUCCAGCAGUGGGAUAAUUUCCUGAUACAGAAGCCAGGGAACAUAUAUUUAAUUUAAACAAAGAAGCAGAUACCCGGGGUUUUGAAAGUCCGGAGUAACAUUUACAUUAAUGGAAAGUACUACUUGAACAUGGAAGCACUAACGUGUGGGUAAGGAAUAGUCAAGAUGUCUGCCAAGAGAGAUUCUAGCUGCUUUGAGCCCUCAUCCAGUGGCUGAUGGAAGCCGAGGCAGACACCCACAGAUUCACACUGAACUGAACUCUGGAACUUAGUUGCAGAGAGAGAGGAAUGAAGAUCAAAGGGGUCAGUACCAGGCGGUGAAACCCACAGGAACAGCUGGCCUGUACAGGUGGAGCACAUGGACCCCAGACUGCUGUCUGGGUGGCCAGUACAGGACUGAUCCAGACCCCUGAACAUGGAUGUCAAUUAGGAGGCCUCUGCACUCUAGGGGGCCCUUGGUGGUGGAUUAGUAUUUUUCCCUGGUGUAAGAAGGGACUUUGAGAGCCCAUCCCACGUGAAGGGAUGCACUCUCCUUCUGGACACAUGGGGAAGGGCCUAGGCCCGACCCAGGAUGAUGUGGUGGACUUUGGGGAGCCCACAUUGAGGGCCCUACCAUGC
Molecule: long non-coding RNA, 976 nt
Filed under: Cricetulus griseus (Chinese hamster)
Lineage: Eukaryota; Metazoa; Chordata; Mammalia; Rodentia; Cricetidae
Description: lncRNA (ENSCGRG00015033393.1)
Source: RNAcentral